GAGGCUGUGGCUCAGUGGCAGAGCGCUCACCUAGCAUGUGUGAAGCCCUGGGUUCAAUCCUCAGCACCACA
Molecule: transfer RNA, 71 nt
Filed under: Marmota monax (woodchuck)
Lineage: Eukaryota; Metazoa; Chordata; Mammalia; Rodentia; Sciuridae
Description: tRNA.Ala
Rfam family: tRNA (bases 6-66)
About the family: Transfer RNA (tRNA) molecules are approximately 80 nucleotides in length.
Source: RNAcentral